GAGUGAUCUUGCACGUUUGUGUCAUGGCACGCCAAAGAAGUGGCCAAAACACGGAAUGGGAGCUGUGUUGUCAGUGACGUCAUCGCUUGGCACUUGGGUAGUAUGCUUUAUGUUUUUGUUGUUAGCGGAGUUCCCAAUUCCAAAUAUCCAUGGAAGACUGGUCUGGGCAUUCUAGGUAUGCUUGUUCAGAAAUUAUGGCACUUCGUUUCCUGAGAUGCAUACCCAUGUUGUUCACCA
This 237-nucleotide long non-coding RNA is filed under the name Gallus gallus (chicken). The record is from RNAcentral. Lineage: Eukaryota; Metazoa; Chordata; Aves; Galliformes; Phasianidae.